GUUGCGUAAAGGGAAAGGUCGUAGUCAAACCCUACAACCACGCGAUUCUAAGUCAGCCACGAAUCGGCUAUCCCAACUAACGGCGGGAAAGGCUCCAUGGAGGGUGUAAGACCCGUGUGGGCGCGUGUCAAUGUUGUGUGGGUUCGGCCUCUUCCCUGAGAGUCGCGUUGCUUGAACAUGCAGCGCUAAGCAGGUCGUAAACUCGAUCUAAGGCUAAAUAUGUCCACAGGUCCGAUAGUAAACAAGUACCGUGAGGGAAAGUUGAAAAGCACUCUGAAGAGAGAGUCAAAAGACCGUGAAACCGCUCAGAGUAUAAGCCCAUGGAGCCUGGAAGGCUUCCGCAGUCACGUGCAACCUGAAGGAUGUACGGCAAGUCAUGAGAAAGGUUCGUUAGGGUGCUGCCUGUGGCUAGCGAAGCUCCAGCACCCGGCGUCCGGCGCUUUGCGCACGAGGUUGGGGCUUGCGGUGUAACAGCCGUGAGCUUUCUUCUCUCGUCAGCUUUGUCCAAGUAUUGACGUUCAAGGUCUUGACUUAUUGCGGUGAUUGCCCACCACAGUUCGUUGUGAGGUCACCCACAGGCUCAAACUGUCGAUUGCGCGCCCAGCGCGCAGCAUAUUCUAUAAGUGUGUGUGAUGAUCUCCGAAUGCGAGGCUCGGAUGGUAGCACGCACGCACUGUGUCGUUGGGCCGGGCGACGAACCGAGUAUAUCCUGGUAUGAUCCUCGUGCGACGAUCUGAUUUCUGACCGAGUCCCUUACCAUGCUCUCCACCCAUGAGUCGGGUGGAGUGCGCGACAUUAUCUGAAAUGCCGGCUGUUUGGCUCCCUGAAACGAACUCUCAAAGCCUCAGUCGAUGGUUUGUCAUAUGGCUCGUAUGGUGUUAAGUCCAGCACCAUCGGUCACGUCUCGAAACACGGGCCAAGGAGUAUAGCAUGUGUGCAAGUCUAAGGGUCUCACAAAACCCGCAGGCGAAGUGAAAGCAAAUGUGUGGCGGGAGGGCUAAGGAGUUCCCGUCAGCUUGGUGGUAAAAGAUCUGGCUUUAACCGAGCUGAUACUGUUCUGCUGGCAAUGUCUCUAAACAGUCGCAAGCUCCGGGCUCACAUAUCAACACUGGCUCCUCGUAGCUGUGUCGUGAGCACUGUGGAGCAUGCAUGCUAUAACCCGAAAGAUAGUGAACUAUGCCUGGCGAGGGCGAAGCCCCAGGAA
Molecule: ribosomal RNA, 1204 nt
Filed under: Paralicella tenuipes
Lineage: Eukaryota; Metazoa; Arthropoda; Malacostraca; Amphipoda; Lysianassidae
Description: partial 28S ribosomal RNA
Rfam family: Eukaryotic large subunit ribosomal RNA
Source: RNAcentral